GACGAACGCUGGCGGCGUGCCUAAUACAUGCAAGUAGAACGCUGACUACUUUAGCUUGCUAGAGUAGAAGGAGUUGCGAACGGGUGAGUAACGCGUAGGUAACCUGCCUACUAGCGGGGGAUAACUAUUGGAAACGAUAGCUAAUACCGCAUAACAGUGUUUAACACAUGUUAGAUGCUUGAAAGAUGCAAUUGCAUCACUAGUAGAUGGACCUGCGUUGUAUUAGCUAGUUGGUGGGGUAACGGCCCACCAAGGCGACGAUACAUAGCCGACCUGAGAGGGUGAUCGGCCACACUGGGACUGAGACACGGCCCGGACUCCUACAGGAGGCAGCAGUAGGGAAUCUUCGGCAAUGGGGGCAACCCUGACCGAGCAACGCCGCGUGAGUGAAGAAGGUUUUCGGAUCGUAAAGCUCUGUUGUAAGAGAAGAACGUGUGUGAGAGUGGAAAGUUCACACAGUGACGGUAACUUACCAGAAAGGGACGGCUAACUACGUGCCAGCCGCCGCGGUAA
This 513-nucleotide ribosomal RNA is filed under the name uncultured bacterium. RNAcentral describes it as "partial 16S ribosomal RNA". It matches the Rfam family "Bacterial small subunit ribosomal RNA", at positions 28 to 523 of the family's 1533-position model. The record is from RNAcentral.